UACGUAGGCAGCGAGCGUUGUUCGGAGUUACUAUGCGUAAAGGGUGUGUAGGCGGUUUUCUAAGUUUGGUGUGAAAUCUCCCGCUCAACCGGGAGGGUGCGCCGAAAACUGGGAGACUAGAGUGCGGGAUGGGAGAGUAGAAUUCCUGGUGUAGCGGUGAAAUGCGUAGAUAUCAGGAGGAACACCUGUGGCGAAGGCGGCCAUCUGGACGACGACUGACGCUGAGACGCGAAAGCGUGGGUAGCAAACAGG
RNAcentral lists this ribosomal RNA (252 nucleotides) under uncultured bacterium. RNAcentral's name for it is "partial 16S ribosomal RNA". It matches the Rfam family "Bacterial small subunit ribosomal RNA", at positions 524 to 776 of the family's 1533-position model. The record is from RNAcentral.